Molecule: ribosomal RNA, 495 nt
Filed under: uncultured bacterium
Lineage: Bacteria
Description: bacterial SSU rRNA
Rfam family: Bacterial small subunit ribosomal RNA
Source: RNAcentral
GACGAACGCUGGCGGCGUGGAUUAGGCAUGCAAGUCGGACGGUAGGGCUUUAUCGUAAGAUAGAGUUUGAGAGUGGCGAACGGGUGAGUAACACGUAGGAAUCUACCCUUAAGACGGGGACAACCCAGGGAAACUUGGGCUAAUACCGGAUGAGAGUGCGAGAGAUUGCAUUUAAAAGGAUGGCGAAAGUUGUCGCUUAGGGAUGAGCCUGCGGUCUAUUAGUUAGUUGGUGAGGUAAGAGCUCACCAAGGCGAUGAUAGAUAGGCGGCCUUAACGGGUGGUCGCCCACACUGGGAUUGAGAUACGGCCCAGACUCCUACGGGAGGCAGCAGUCGAGAAUAGUCUACAAUGGUCGGAAGACUGAUAGUGCGACGCCGCGUGAACGAUGAAUCCCUUCGGGGUGUAAAGUUCUUUUAUAUGUGAGCAGUGCUUCUUAUAUUAACAGUAUGGGGAAGAGAUAUUAGCAUAUGAAUAAGCAACGGCUAACUCCGUGCC